AAGUCGUAACAAGGUUUCCGUAGGUGAACCUGCGGAAGGAUCAUUACCGAGUUAGGGUCCUCUGGGCUCGACCUCCAACCCUUUGUCUACCUUACCAUAUGUUGCUUCGGCGGGCCCGUCUUCUCAGAAGACCGCCGGAGGGAUCUAAACCGCCCUCUGGCCCGCGCUCGUCGAUGGCCCAUUAUCAAUCUCUUACUUAACAACUGUGUCUGAACUUAACAAACAAAAAUAAGUAAAAACUUUCAACAACGGAUCUCUUGGUUCUGGCAUCGAUGAAGAACGCAGCGAAAUGCGAUAAGUAAUGCGAAUUGCAGAAUCCGUGAGUCAUCGAAUCUUUGAACGCACAUUGCGCCCUUUGGUAUUCCGAAGGGCAUGCCUGUUCGAGCGUCAUUAUCACCCCUCAAGCUCCGGCUUGGUGUUGGGCUUUAGGCGGUUUUAACCAACCGCCGGCCUCAAAAAUAGUGACGGCGCCCUAGAGGGAACCGGUACGAGGAGCUUUGCUAAGCAUGUACACGGCGCGACUCUACGGGCGACGGUCUUUUACCUCAAAAGUUCUUUAAUUAGAUCUUUCAAGUGUUGACCUCGGAUCAGGUAGGAAUACCCGCUGAACUUAA
This 614-nucleotide ribosomal RNA is filed under the name uncultured fungus. RNAcentral describes it as "eukaryotic LSU rRNA". The stretch from base 238 to 390 matches the Rfam family "5.8S ribosomal RNA". Lineage: Eukaryota; Fungi. The record is from RNAcentral.